GACGAACGCUAGCGGCGUGCUUAACACAUGCAAGUCGAACGGAAAGGCCCUGCUUUUGUGGGGUGCUCGAGUGGCGAACGGGUGAGUAACACGUGAGUAACCUGCCCUUGACUUUGGGAUAACUUCAGGAAACUGGGGCUAAUACCGGAUAGGAGCUCCUGCUGCAUGGUGGGGGUUGGAAAGUUUCGGCGGUUGGGGAUGGACUCGCGGCUUAUCAGCUUGUUGGUGGGGUAGUGGCUUACCAAGGCUUUGACGGGUAGUCGGCCUGAGAGGGUGACCGGCCACAUUGGGACUGAGAUACGGCCCAGACUCCUACGGGAGGCAGCAGUGGGGAAUAUUGCACAAUGGGCGGAAGCCUGAUGCAGCAACGCCGCGUGCGGGAUGACGGCCUUCGGGUUGUAAACCGCUUUCGCCUGUGACGAAGCGUGAGUGACGGUAAUGGGUAAAGAAGCACCGGCUAACUACGUG
This 468-nucleotide ribosomal RNA is filed under the name uncultured bacterium. RNAcentral describes it as "partial 16S ribosomal RNA". It matches the Rfam family "Bacterial small subunit ribosomal RNA", at positions 28 to 507 of the family's 1533-position model. The record is from RNAcentral.